This 219-nucleotide long non-coding RNA is filed under the name Elaeis guineensis (African oil palm). RNAcentral's name for it is "long non-coding RNA (EGUI_LNC027162)". Lineage: Eukaryota; Viridiplantae; Streptophyta; Magnoliopsida; Arecales; Arecaceae. The record is from RNAcentral.
GGCUAGAUAGAGCUGGAGCAAUCCUUACGAUGUGGCAAAAACUCCUUCAAUCUGUAAAAUCAGUCAAGAAAUCAGAUGGAGAUUCUCCGAUUCUUGACCCUCCGAUACUUAAGUUAGUUCGAACAUUGAGAAUAGAGGUGGAAAAGAGUUAAAGAGUAAGAGAACUUAGAUAGAACUGGAGGAGAAUUGUGUAGGAGCCAAGAAUUUGACUUGAUAUCC